UGUCUAAUUGUCCAGCACUCCAUUGUAUUAAUAUCACGUCAAACUCGCUUCAAAAAUUAGCAUUGCAGAAACAAGAAAACCUCACAACUUUGGCAUUACAAUGCCAAUGUUUGCAAGAAGUAGACCUCACAGAUUGUGAAUCUCUAACAAAUUCUGUUUGCGAAGUUUUUAGUGAUGGCGGGGGGUGCCCUAUGCUAAAAACAUUGGUUCUUGAUAAUUGUGAGAACUUGACGGCCGUGCAAUUCUGCAGUACCUCUUUAGUGAGUCUUUCCCUAGUUGGUUGCCGUGCUAUUACUUCUCUUGAACUGACAUGCCCUCGUCUUGAGAAACUUUGUCUGGAUGGUUCUGAUCACCUUGAGAGAGCAUCAUUUUCCCUUGUUGCUCUUCAGUCACUGAAUUUGGGAAUUUGUCCCAAAUUAAAUAUACUUAAUAUUGAAGCACCAUAUAUGGUGUCACUUGAGUUGAAAGGAUGUGGUGUGUUGUCUGAAGCAACGAUCAACUGUCCUCUUCUAACAUCUCUGGAUGCUUCCUUCUGUAGCCAACUUAAGGAUGACUGCUUGUCAGCAACAACUGCGUCCUGCCCAUUGAUUGAGUCAUUAAUAUUGAUGUCUUGCCCAUCUGUUGGUUCUGAUGGACUUUACUCUUUGCGCUGGCUUAAACAUCUGACUCUGCUAGAUUUGUCGUAUACUUUCUUGAUAAAUCUGCAGCCAGUUUUUGAGUCUUGUUUGCAACUGAAGGUAUUAAAAUUGCAAGCUUGCAAGUAUCUUAAUGACACGUCAUUGGAGCCUCUUUACAUUGAAGGUGCUCUGCCAGUGCUUCAGGAGUUGGACUUGUCUUAUGGGACCCUCUGUCAGUCUGCAAUAGAGGAGCUUCUUGCUUGCUGUACUCAUCUGACUCAUUUGAGCUUGAAUGGCUGUGUGAAUAUGCAUGACCUGAAUUGGGGAUAUAGUGGAGGUCAGCUUUCUGAGUUGCCAAGUGUAUAUAAUUCAUCUGCUCUGCUUUCCGACGAGAAUAUCCAUGAGCCAAUUGAGCAGGCAAACCGUUUGCUACAGAACCUCAAUUGUGUGGGUUGUCCAAAUAUUAGGAAAGUUCUCAUUCCACCAAUGGCACGAUGUUUCCAUUUGUUGUCACUAAACCUGUCUUUAUCUGCCAAUUUGAAGGAAGUUGAUGUUGCUUGUUUUAAUUUGUGUUUUCUUAAUUUGAGUAAUUGUUGCGCUUUGGAGGUGUUGAAGCUUGAGUGCCCAAGACUGACAAGUCUCUUUCUCCAGGUAUGUGCUUGAUUUCUAUCCCUGAUUGAAUACCCAAUCACCGUCUUGGUACAGCUCAGCUGGAUGGGGCAAAGGAAAGAAUAGUGGGAUAUCCAUCUUUGGGUUGUAUAAUGCAGGAAGGAAGUUCUAUUUUUGGAUUUUGAUAACUGCCACGUCUAAUAUGCUAGUAAAUCAGAUUUGCUAGUAUUAAUUCUGCUGGCAGCUGUUGCUAGUUCUUUAGAAGUAUAUCCAGGACUGCUUAGGAAGGCGCAAGAGCUUAUUUUUUCUGAGGCAUGCCCAGGAAAGGCGGGCAUUGUUUGACUGUGGUUUUGCAUUUAUUUCUCUUCUUGGAUUUAUCUCCUUUUCUUACCCUUCUCCAAAAGUGUGCGUUCUUUUUGGAUUAACUAUUGUUUUAUCCUUUGGGUCUGGGUGAAGGUAGACUGCUUCAUGAAAUAGUGUUUUAUGAAUAUUUGUUUUAAUGGGCUUGCAGUCUUGUAACAUUGAUGAGGAAGACGUAGAAGCUGCCAUAUCUCGAUGUAGCAUGCUGGAGACUCUGGAUGUGCGUUUUUGUCCUAAGAUAUGCUCAAUAAGCAUGGGGAGAUUGCGCUCAGCAUGCCCGAGUUUGAAGCGUGUCUUUAGCAGCUUCUCACCUCCAUGAUGUGAAUAAAGAAUUUUGUCUGAUUUUUCCAAUGGUGAUUCACUUUGAGGUGAAGCGGCGGCUUUAUUUGGUGUGAUAUCUUCUGUUUCACUUGCUGUGUUGUAAAUGCACUGCUGUCUUGUUGAUGUUGUGGUAUAUAGGCACUUGUGGUAGCCGAGUUAAUGCAAUAAUACAAUUAAAAACCUACUAAUAUCCACCUCCGCCUUUUCGAGUCUCCACAGAUUCUUUUUGAAUGCACCAAUUCUGUGAUGAGUUCAGAAUUGGAGGAAUCUCCAAUUUUCCAUCAACAAAUUUUUAACUAAUGGCAAUACAAAAACAUCAACGGAUAGGAGUUGGCGCUUUUCCUUCCAUCAUCCCUUGCCAUUUGCUGUGAUGCUGCCGCUUGUCAAUUAGCCACUCUCACGGGUUGCAACUGCCAUGCUAAUUGCCAAAUGCACCUUCGCAGUGACGCCCCUUGCUAAUUGCCCUUCUCUUUUUGAUUUGUUUUGCUGUUGGAAUUUUUUUGAAUGAUUGGUGGCUAAUCCUGGGAUUAGGGAUGAGGUAAUGGGAACUGGGUAGGGGAAGUGAAACAAUAUCGUUUUUGUUAAGACACUUUCUUUGGCUUCUUAUUCAAAAUUGAUAAAUCAAAUCGAAUUAAGUUAG
Molecule: unclassified non-coding RNA, 2547 nt
Filed under: Hevea brasiliensis (rubber tree)
Lineage: Eukaryota; Viridiplantae; Streptophyta; Magnoliopsida; Malpighiales; Euphorbiaceae
Source: RNAcentral